RNAcentral lists this ribosomal RNA (446 nucleotides) under uncultured bacterium. RNAcentral describes it as "bacterial SSU rRNA". It matches the Rfam family "Bacterial small subunit ribosomal RNA", at positions 331 to 793 of the family's 1533-position model. The record is from RNAcentral.
CCAGACUCCUACGGGAGGCAGCAGUGGGGAAUAUUGCACAAUGGGGGGAACCCUGAUGCAGCGACGCCGCGUGGGCGAGGAAGUAUUUCGGUAUGUAAAGCCCUAUCAGCAGGGAAGAACAAUGACGGUACCUGACUAAGAAGCACCGGCUAAAUACGUGCCAGCAGCCGCGGUAAUACGUAUGGUGCAAGCGUUAUCCGGAUUUACUGGGUGUAAAGGGAGCGCAGGCGGCACGGCAAGCCUGAUGUGAAAGCCCGCGGCCCAACCGCGGGACUGCAUUGGGAACUACCGGGCUGGAGUGCCGGAGAGGUAGGCGGAAUUCCUAGUGUAGCGGUGAAAUGCGUAGAUAUUAGGAGGAACACCAGUGGCGAAGGCGGCCUGCUGGACGACAACUGACGGUGAGGCGCGAAAGCGUGGGGAGCAAACAGGAUUAGAUACCCCGGUAA